AUAACCUGUUAAUUUUGUGUUGUGUUGGGUUAACGGGUCGUGUCAGAAAUUUUCAUACCUAGUCCCUAGCUGUUCGAACUAGGAAAGUCGGAGUUUCCGAUAGUAAUCGCAUCUAAACAUAAUAUUGGGACCGGUAGUAAAACUCAACUAAAAUGAUUAAAUUUGGAAAAACGGAUCGCAAAUUUGGAAUUAGGGCGUCGAAAUAUCCUAAGAAGGGUCACGGGUAAAUUUCGUAAAAAGUCAACCGAGUCGCCGGGACAGUCAACUACGUUAAAAUUUUGAAAUUUUACUAAAUGGAUGACAAAAAUAGACUCAAGGCAUCAGAAUUAGCCUAAGAGAGGUCCCGACAAAAACCUGAAAUCAACGCAGGGAAUAUUCCAAGAAUAUUCGAGGAAUAUUUCAUAUCCGGUUUCAUAAACAAGUUGGGUCGGUUCUGGGUCAGGGUUAUAGGAUCGGUUCGUGGAUUUUGGUCGAAUUCGGUUCAUCAGAUCUGAUUCUGAUAUUCAGGUCGGGUUAACCCAAUCUAGGCUGCGGGUAGGUUGGUUUAUGGGGAUUUUGGCCGAAAAACUUCCACAGCUCCGAUUAGCUUUAAAACUAAACCAAAACUAGCAACCUACUAUACCAAUUUGAACCUUAAAGAACAAGUAAUCGAAAUAUACCAUUGGAUUUUUUGGGCGUGGCUGGAUUUGGCCGAAAAAGGGCUUGAAAGCUGUUAGAUUCCUUUUCGGAAAACAGAGAAAGAGUCCCCAAGGUAUCUCCGGCACCAAAUCAUCACCAACUCUUACAAAUAACCGACAAAACAACUCAAAAUGACUAUAAUGACAUGAUUUGAGAAUGUUUGAUCCUUACCUAGUCGGAAAUGGCAAUGGUUCGUCGAAUAAGACAAUGAAUAAUAUGAGUGGUGGCAGUUUGAUCACAGAGGAGAGAUGAAAGGGCGUUUAAGAGAUUGUAGGUAUUUUGUGGGGUCAAGUUCUCCAAGGAGGCCAAUGGUGGUGCCUUGGUGGUUGGCAAAUAACAGACGGAGUUUGAGUAAGUUUGAGGGAGGAAAGAGUUAGAACGAGAGAGAAACGGGGAGAGUUCGAGAAAGUCCCCAAGAGCAUGGUGAACAGAGAGACGCAUGGAAGAGAGGGAGAGGGUGAGUAAGCUAUGGGUCCUACGAGCCAUAAAAAUCCUGCCGAAAAUAAUAAAAUAAUGGGAGAGAAAUUUUGAUAUACCAAUUUACUAAAAUACCCUCAAGUUUCGUAAUUCUGUAAAAUCUUCAUUGGAACUCCAAUUUUAAUUCCACUUGUGCCCGCACGUUCGUAACGUCGAGAACUACAAGGAUAUGCUAAAAGAAUGUUUCGUACGUCUCGUUAUACGAUGGUCAACGAAAGCCAAUAUUCUUGCCUCUAGGGGCGUUUUGGUCAAUUCACACCUUUAAAAUUAUAAAAACCAUAAAAUUAGGGACGAGUUAUUACAACAUACCUAUAAACAUCUAUCCACAAUCUUUCAACCAUAUUUUAUACAAAAAUAGGACAAUUUAGUAAUCUUUUGUAUGUAAGUAUUAUGUUUUGUAUAUAAAUAGGACUAUCCACCAUAAUUCGAGCCUAAUCAUAGUAUAGCCCAGAAUAUGGCUUGCGAGUUCCUCAAUGACUGGCCUACUAAGUCCUUCAGGAUUGCAUUCAUUCAUUUCUCACUUGGUGCUUUGUGGUAGGGCUGAACUUGUUGUACAAACCAAGCAACCAUGGCAACAUUUUACAAAAAUUCUACAAUACGCUGAUGUAUGUGAUGCAUUUGUGUACUAAGCAUUUGCAUACUAGAUUUUGACAACCUUAGCUGAAAAAAUUAAAAUUGAUGUUCCCCAUAAAACUAAUUAGCAAUAUGUAGUCCACCUAUUUAUGAUGCAAGGUCAAUUUUUUUUUUUUUUUUUAGAUAGGGGAUUAACCUUCUCAACACGCUCUCACACAUGUAACGAAUUUUCAAGCCUAGCACAUGGACAACACACAUCGAGUGACAUGGAACAUGUGUGUGGCCGUUAUGUUUCACACAGGAUAACUUGCUCUAGUACUACGAAGAAAGUUGAGAUUUCACCAUAAAACCAAUUGGCAAUAUAAAAAAUAGUCCAUCUACUUAUAUGCACACAAGGUUCUAAAUGGCGUUAGGUGCUAGUCGAGCAGUAGGUUGGGGUCUAGCUGCCAGGCGAACUAGGUGGAUUUAAGCAAAUUUAUUAUAUAUUGUAUAAACAAGUGCCUAUUUAUUAGACUUGGUAAUUUCUUACACGACUCGUUAACAUGACACGUAAACAACACGAAAAUAAUACGUUUCGGGUCAACACAAUAACUAAUUGGGUCGUUAUCAGGUCACAUGAUAAGAACCUGUUUGUUGAUGCACAAAAUCAGUGAGGACUUUGGUACAACAGAAAGUGUUAAGUUUGUGACCUUCGCC
RNAcentral lists this long non-coding RNA (2424 nucleotides) under Malus domestica (apple). RNAcentral's name for it is "long non-coding RNA (MDOM_LNC015342)". Lineage: Eukaryota; Viridiplantae; Streptophyta; Magnoliopsida; Rosales; Rosaceae. The record is from RNAcentral.